Molecule: ribosomal RNA, 464 nt
Filed under: uncultured bacterium
Lineage: Bacteria
Description: partial 16S ribosomal RNA
Rfam family: Bacterial small subunit ribosomal RNA
Source: RNAcentral
CUACGGGUCGCAGCAGUGGGGAAUAUUGCACAAUGGGCGCAAGCCUGAUGCAGCCAUGCCGCGUGUAUGAAGAAGGCCUUCGGGUUGUAAGGUACUUUCAGCGGGGAGGAAGGGAGUAAAGUUAAUACCUUUGCUCAUUGACGUUACCCGCAGAAGAAGCACCGGCUAACUCCGUGCCAGCGGCCGCGGUAAUACGGAGGGUGCAAGCGUUAAUCGGAAUUACUGGGCGUAAAGCGCACGCAGGCGGUUUGUUAAGUCAGAUGUGAAAUCCCCGGGCUCAACCUGGGAACUGCAUCUGAUACUGGCAAGCUUGAGUCUCGUAGAGGGGGGUAGAAUUCCAGGUGUAGCGAUGAUAUGCGUAGAGAUCUGGAGGAAUACCGGUGGCGAAGGCGGCCCCCUGGACGAAGACUGACGCUCAGGUGCGAAAGCGUGGGGAGCAAACAGGAUUAGAUACCCUGGUAGUC